UAAAAGUUUUAUUUUUACUUGAAAAUUUAUUUUUAAAUUAUUUUACAUAUAAAAUUUUAUUUUAAUAUAUUAUAAUUUUAAUAAUUAUUUUAUUAAAAUUUAAUAGUAGUAAUUAAAAUUAAAAAUUAAAGAAAUUUAGAUUUAGUAGUUUAUUUAAUGUUAGUAAAAAUUGUGCCAGCAACUGCGGUUAUACAAUUAAUGUAAAUAAAUUUUAUUAUUAAAAGUUAAAAUAUUAAUGAAAAUUUAAAUUAUAAUUAAAUUUAUUAAGUUAAAUUUUAAAUUUAUAAAAUUUAAUUUAAAGAUUAUUUUAAGCUUAAAAAUUUUUUUAAUAAACUAGGAUUAGAUACCCUAUUAUUUAAAAUGUAGUUAAAAAAUAGUAGAUUAGUACUAGUUAUAAUCUUGAAAAUUAAUAAAUUUGGCGGUAUUUUAUUCUAUUUAGAGGAAUUUGUUUUAUAAUUGAUGAUACCCAUUAAAUCUUACUUAAUUUAUUAAAAUUUGUAUAUCGUCGUCAUAAGAGUAUCUUAAAAAAGUUUUUAAUACUCUAACAUUUUAUUUAAAAAUUAUGUCAGAUCAAGGUGCAGUUUAUAAUUAAGAAAAAAUGAAUUACAAUAAAAAUAUUUAUUAAUGAAUAAUAAAUUUAAAUAUUUAUUUGAAAGUGGAUUUAAUAGUAAAUUAAUCUAUAGAAAUUAAUUGAUUAUAGUUUUAAAAUAUGUACAUAUCGCCCGUCGCUUUCAUUAAUAAAUGAAAUAAGUCGUAACAUAGUAAAAGUACUGGAAAGUGUUUUUAGAAU
This 790-nucleotide non-coding RNA is filed under the name Sciara ruficauda. Lineage: Eukaryota; Metazoa; Arthropoda; Insecta; Diptera; Sciaridae. The record is from RNAcentral.